UACCUUUGCCGGUGCUUAGGUGCUGUAAACAGACAUUCGUCUUUUACAUAAAAAGGGAAUCCGGUUAGAAUCCGGAACAGUGCCCGCUACUGUGAAUUCCAUAUAAUUUUUGAGCAUCACCAUUGCCACUGUUCUUUAUAGAAUGGGAAGGCUGCUCAAAACGGAACAAGUCAGGAAACCUGCCAAGCUACAAGUAAUAAA
Molecule: non-coding RNA, 201 nt
Filed under: Indolivaga macrotermitis
Lineage: Bacteria; Pseudomonadati; Bacteroidota; Bacteroidia; Bacteroidales; Dysgonomonadaceae
Source: RNAcentral